This 22-nucleotide microRNA is filed under the name Prunus persica (peach). RNAcentral's name for it is "microRNA miRNA_70". Lineage: Eukaryota; Viridiplantae; Streptophyta; Magnoliopsida; Rosales; Rosaceae. The record is from RNAcentral.
UGUCCAACUUAUCUGUGCCCUC